CCUACGGGUGGCUGCAGUGGGGGAUAUUGCACAAUGGGGGGAACCCUGAUGCAGCGACGCCGCGUGGGUGAAGAAGCGCUUCGGCGCGUAAAGUCCUGUCAGUAGGGAAGAUAAUGACGGUAUCUAACUAAUAAGCCCCGGCUAACUACGUGCCAGCAGCCGCGGUAAUACGGAGGGGGCAAGCGUUACUCGGAAUUACUGGGCGUAAGGGGCGCGUAGACGGGAGAGCAAGACAGGAGUGAAAUCCCGGGGCUCAACCCCGGGACUGCACUUGGAACUGGUCGGCUGGAGUGCAGGAGAGGCAGGCGGAAUUCCUGGUGUAGCGGUGAAAUGCGUAGAGAUCAGGAGGAACACCGAUGGCGAAGGCGACCUGCUGGA
RNAcentral lists this ribosomal RNA (378 nucleotides) under uncultured bacterium. Its description in RNAcentral is "partial 16S ribosomal RNA". It matches the Rfam family "Bacterial small subunit ribosomal RNA", at positions 338 to 733 of the family's 1533-position model. The record is from RNAcentral.